This is a non-coding RNA of Zopfochytrium polystomum, 84 nucleotides long. Lineage: Eukaryota; Fungi; Chytridiomycota; Chytridiomycetes; Chytridiales; Chytridiaceae. The record is from the annotation of a GenBank genome assembly.
GCCCCUGUCGUCCAAUGGCUAGGACAUCACCAUUCCCAUCGGAAAAUCUCGGUGAAGAUCGGCGUUCAAAUCGUCGGAGGGGCG